CAGUAGCCGCGGUAAUACGAAGGGUGCAAGCGUUAAUCGGAAUUACUGGGCGUAAAGCGUGCGCAGGCGGUUGUGUAAGACAGGUGUGAAAUCCCCGGGCUUAACCUGGGAACUGCGCUUGUGACUGCACAGCUAGAGUAUGGCAGAGGGGGGUGGAAUUCCACGUGUAGCAGUGAAAUGCGUAGAGAUGUGGAGGAACACCGAUGGCGAAGGCAGCCCCCUGGGCCAAUACUGACGCUCAUGCACGAAAGCGUGGGGAGCAAACAGGAUUAGAUACCCCAGUAGUCCCUGUCUCUUAUAC
RNAcentral lists this ribosomal RNA (301 nucleotides) under uncultured bacterium. Its description in RNAcentral is "partial 16S ribosomal RNA". It matches the Rfam family "Bacterial small subunit ribosomal RNA", at positions 509 to 807 of the family's 1533-position model. The record is from RNAcentral.